Molecule: long non-coding RNA, 359 nt
Organism: Magnolia sinica
Lineage: Eukaryota; Viridiplantae; Streptophyta; Magnoliopsida; Magnoliales; Magnoliaceae
Exons: 2
Source: RefSeq, a predicted model, not a curated record
GAAGUUCCGUCUACCACCGAAGAAGAAAAAGAAGGACCAGAGAUAUAAGAGAUUUCAUCUGAGUAGCUCCAGCAAAGGCAAUUUAUAUCAUCUAGAGGCAACCCAUCAUCCAACAAUGUAUACGGUUCAUCAUGUGGUUUCUUGCUUUUAACUUGCUAUCUCCGUUAAUAAAUUUGUAAACUCUUGUUCUUCAUGCCAGAUGGGAAAAAGCCUUAAUACUUUCUUCUAUAACAUUUAUAUUUGUAGCCAAUUAACCUUUGUAAUUAAUAUUUUCUGAUACCAGGGACAGACAUACUCUCUUGUUAUCUAUUCAAGGUUUGACUAUAAGAUACAUUUCAUUGAUGAUGUUAGUAGAUUUA